AUACGUAGGUGACAAGCGUUAUCCGGAUUUACUGGGUGUAAAGGGCGUGUAGGCGGUUUAGCAAGUCAGAAGUGAAAUUCCCGGGCUUAACUUGGGCGCUGCUUCUGAAACUGCUUUACUUGAGUGCUGGAGAGGAUAGUGGAAUUCCUAGUGUAGCGGUAAAAUGCGCAGAUAUUAGGAGGAACACCGGUGGCGAAGGCGGCUAUCUGGACAGUAACUGACGCUGAGGCGCGAAAGCACGGGGAGCAAACAGGAUUAGAUACCCUGGUAGUCCGUGCCGUAAACGAUGAAUACUAGGUGUAGGGGGUAUCGACCCCCUCUGUGCCGCAGUUAACACAUUAAGUAUUCCACCUGGGGAGUACGGCCGCAAGGUUGAAACUCAAAGGAAUUGGCGGGG
Molecule: ribosomal RNA, 397 nt
Filed under: uncultured bacterium
Lineage: Bacteria
Description: partial 16S ribosomal RNA
Rfam family: Bacterial small subunit ribosomal RNA
Source: RNAcentral